RNAcentral lists this ribosomal RNA (1394 nucleotides) under uncultured Ruminococcus sp. RNAcentral's name for it is "bacterial SSU rRNA". It matches the Rfam family "Bacterial small subunit ribosomal RNA". The record is from RNAcentral. Lineage: Bacteria; Bacillati; Bacillota; Clostridia; Eubacteriales; Oscillospiraceae.
UUGAUCCUGGCUCAGGACGAACGCUGGCGGCGUGCCUAACACAUGCAAGUCGAACGAAGAACAGCUUGAAGCUUGCUUUAGACUGUUUUUAGUGGCGGACGGGUGAGUAACGCGUGAGUAACCUGCCUUUCAGAGGGGGAUAACGUUCUGAAAAGAACGCUAAUACCGCAUAAUAUUUUGAAGCCGCAUGGUUUUAAAAUCAAAGGAGCAAUCCGCUGAAAGAUGGACUCGCGUCCGAUUAGCUAGUUGGUGAGGUAAUGGCUCACAAAGGCGACGAUCGGUAGCCAGAUUGAGAGGUUGAUCGGCCACAUUGGGACUGAGACACGGCCCAGACUCCUACGGGAGGCAGCAGUGGGGGAUAUUGCACAAUGGAGGAAACUCUGAUGCAGCAACGCCGCGUGAGGGAGAAGGUUUUCGGAUUGUAAACCUCGUCCUUGGUGAACGAUAAUGACGGUAGCCAAGGAGGAAGCUCCGGCUAACUACGUGGCCAGCAGCGCGGUAAUACGUAGGGAGCAAGCGUUGUCCGGAUUUACUGGGUGUAAAGGGUGCGUAGGCGGCACUGCAAGUCAGGCGUGAAAGGCGGAGGCUUAACCUCCGAGUUGCGUUUGAAACUGUGGUGCUUGAGUGAAGUAGAGGUAGGCGGAAUUCCCGGUGUAGCGGUGAAAUGCGUAGAGAUCGGGAGGAACACCAGUGGCGAAGGCGGCCUACUGGGCUUUAACUGACGCUGAGGCACGAAAGCAUGGGUAGCAAACAGGAUUAGAUACCCUGGUAGUCCAUGCUGUAAACGAUGAUUACUAGGUGUGGGGGGGUCUGACCCCUUCCGUGCCGGAGUUAACACAAUAAGUAAUCCACCUGGGGAGUACGACCGCAAGGUUGAAACUCAAAGGAAUUGACGGGGGCCCGCACAAGCAGUGGAGUAUGUGGUUUAAAUUCGAAGCAACGCGAAGAACCCUUACCAGGUCUUGACAUCCAACUAACGAAGCAGAGAUGCGUUAGGUGCCCUUCGGGGAAAGUUGAGACAGGUGGUGCAUGUGGUCGUCAGCUCGUGUCGUGAGAUGUUGGGUUAAGUCCCGCAACGAGCCGCCCAACCCUUGUCAUUUAGGUUGCUACGCAAGAGCACUCUAAUGAGACUGCCGUUGACAAAACGGAGGAAGGUGGGGACGACGUCAAAUCAUCAUGCCCUUUAUGACCUGGGCUACACACGUACUACAGUGAUCGUUAACAGAGGGAAGCAAAGCCGCGAGGUGGAGCAAAACCCUAAAAACGGUCUCAGUUCGGAUUGUAGGCUGCAACUCGCCUACAUGAAGUUGGAAUUGCUAGUAAUCGCGGAUCAGAAUGCCGCGGUGAAUACGUUCCCGGGCCUUGUACACACCGCCCGUCACACCAUGGGAGCC